AACCGGAAGCGCUUGACAGAUACCUGCGGUUUGGGGCGUUGGCGGGAGCUGCAGAGGUGCUCGGGGGUCUUUCGGGAUGAGCGCCAGGGUCAAGGGCGCCCUCCCAGGGUCGCCCUCCCAGGGUCCCCCGUCAGGCCUGUGCGGUCGUGCCCCGCGGCGGGCGCGCUGGACCAGGGUCCCCUCUUGUUCCCUGAGUCCUGAGGCGAGACGAAGUGUGGCCAGAGGCUCCUGUCUCCACUCUAGUUUUCUGCUUCCUUUUAGAAAAUGAUCAUUUUCUUGGCUGCACGUCUUCAGCUGAACUAGGAGACACCAGGAUCCUUAGAGUCCUGAGAGCGAUGAGCUGUUCUUCCUCUAGUUCUGCAGGUUCUUCAAGUUUUCCAACGGGGCAGGAGAUAACUUUGGCAGCAGAAGGGGAAGACUGGAAGGGAGUGAGACCAAAGGCUAGAAGACUUUAAGAUGCUGUUGCAAUAGCCCAGGAAGUGAUGAGGAGGCAUUCAAGGAGAGAGGACCUGGGAGGACACCGAGGAGGUGGAUGGGAGAGACACUUCCAGGCUAGAAAGGACCACUGCCGGAAAUAGUUAAACGUACAAAGUAGUGUAACGAACCCAUAGACCAUCACCUAGCUUUACUGUUACCUACACGCAGCCGGUUUUCUUCAUCUACAACCUCCCCUACACUCCACUAAAUUAUGU
Long non-coding RNA from Tupaia belangeri chinensis (Chinese tree shrew), 692 nucleotides. RefSeq lists it as uncharacterized. The record is from RefSeq and is a predicted model, not a curated record. NCBI's taxonomy places the organism in Eukaryota, Metazoa, Chordata, Mammalia, Scandentia, Tupaiidae. The transcript is spliced from 3 exons.